CCUACGGGCGGCAGCAGUAGGGAAUCUUUCACAAUGGGCGAAAGCCUGAUGGAGCAACGCCGCGUGCAGGAUGAAGGCCUUCGGGUUGUAAACUGCUUUUAUAAGCGAGAAAUAUGAUGGUAACUUAUGAAUAAGGAUCGGCUAACUACGUGCCAGCAGCCGCGGUCAUACGUAGGAUCCGAGCAUUAUCCGGAGUGACUGGGUGUAAAGAGUUGCGUAGGUGGCAUAAUAAGUAGCUAGUGAAAUCUGGUGGCUCAACCAUUCAGACUAUUAGCUAAACUGUUAAGCUCGAGACCGUUAGGGGUAACUGGAAUUUCGAGUGUAGGAGUGAAAUCCGUAGAUAUUAGAAGGAACACCAAUAGCGUAGGCAGGUUGCUGGGACGGUUCUGACACUAAGGCACGAAAGCGUAGGGAGCAAACGGGAUUAGAUACCCCUGUAGUC
This 442-nucleotide ribosomal RNA is filed under the name uncultured bacterium. Its description in RNAcentral is "partial 16S ribosomal RNA". It matches the Rfam family "Bacterial small subunit ribosomal RNA", at positions 338 to 795 of the family's 1533-position model. The record is from RNAcentral.